This 1496-nucleotide ribosomal RNA is filed under the name metagenome. RNAcentral's name for it is "bacterial SSU rRNA". It matches the Rfam family "Bacterial small subunit ribosomal RNA". The record is from RNAcentral.
AGAGUUUGAUCCUGGCUCAGAACUAACGCUGGCGGCGUGCCUAACACAUGCAAGUCGUGCGGAUAUAUCAGGGUAGCAAUACUCUGGUAUCUUAGCGGCAAACGGGUGAGUAAUACAUAGGUAAUCUUCCUUCGGGUAAGGGAUAACCCGGCGAAAGCUGGGCUAAUACCAUACGAUACUGUAUUAUGAAAACGGUGCAGUCAAAGCAGUGAUGCGCCCGAAGAUGAGCCUAUGGCCUAUCAGCUAGAUGGUGGGGUAACGGCCUACCAUGGCUAAGACGGGUAACCGGCUUGAGAGGGUGCUCGGUCACACUGGAAUUGAGAAACGGUCCAGACUCCUACGGGAGGCAGCAGUGGGGAAUAUUCCGCAAUGGGCGAAAGCCUGACGGAGCGACGCCGCGGGGAUGAUGACGGUCUUCGGAUUGUAAAGUCCUGUAGAGGGGGAAGAAGGGUGCCGUAAGGCAUUUGACAGUACUCCUAAAGUAAGCUACGGCAAACUCUGUGCCAGCAGCCGCGGUAAUACAGAGGUAGCAAGCGUUGUUCGGAAUGACUGGGUGUAAAGCGCGUGUAGGCUCUUAUAAGUUGAAUGUGAAAUCCCUUGGCUCAACCAAGGAACGGCAUUCAAAACUGCAAGACUUGAGUGCGGAAGAGGAAAGUGGAAUUUCGGGUGUAGCGGUGAAAUGCGUAGAUAUCCGAAGGAACACCGGUGGCGAAGGCGACUUUCUGGUCCGCAACUGACGCUGAGACGCGAAAGCUAGGGGAGCAAACAGGAUUAGAUACCCUGGUAGUCCUAGCCGUAAACGAUGUACACUAGGUGUGCCCUCCUUAGGGGGGUGUGCCGAAGCUAACGCAUUAAGUGUACCACCUGGGGAGUACGGCCGCAAGGUUGAAACUCAAAGGAAUUGACGGGGGCCCGCACAAGAGGUGGAGCAUGUGGUUUAAUUCGACGCUACGCGAAGAACCUUACCUGGGCUUGACAUACUGGUAGUAGGAACCCGAAAGGGCAACGAUCCCCUUAAAAGGAAGCCAGAACAGGUGCUGCAUGGCUGUCGUCAGCUCGUGUCGUGAGAUGUUGGGUUAAGUCCCGCAACGAGCGCAACCCCUAUCUUUAGUUGCCCAUCCGGAUUCGUCCGGGAGGCUACUCUAAAGAAACUGCCACGGACAACGUGGAGGAAGGUGGGGAUGACGUCAAGUCCGCAUGUCCUUUAUGUCCAGGGCCACACACGUGCUACAAUGACGCGUACAAAGGGUUGCCAAACCGCAAGGUGGAGCUAAUCCCAAAAAACGCGCCUCAGUUCAGAUUGGAGGCUGCAACUCGCCUCCAUGAAGCUGGAAUCUCUAGUAAUCGCGGAUCAGCCACGCCGCGGUGAAUACGUUCCCGGGCCUUGUACACACCGCCCGUCACACCACGAAAGCCCGUUGUACUUGAAGAUGAAUUUCCCUCACGGGAGUCAGAUAGAGUAUAACUGGUGAUUGGGGUGAAGUCGUAACAAGGUA